GUAAGGACUUGAGGUGGGACUGUACGGAGCAAAGGAAGAGUUGAAGAAGAAAGAUGUUCUAGAAGCCUGGAAAAUUCAAUAAGAGUCAAUCAAAUUUAGAUUUGAUUUUAGAUUUUAGAUUCAGAAUUUGGAAACUAUUGUUGGGUCUGGUUUCUCGACAUCUCUACCGAGGAGCCUGUGUCAAAGCAAUUCAUUCAUUCAACAGAUUGAGGACUCCAAUGUAUGUAAUUCUUCCUUAAACCUUAAAAUCAUGUAGUCAUUACUCACAUGUGACAUAUGAAGUUGAGUCCCAGAACACUUAUAUUGUCCAGAGUUAGGGCAGGAUCUCCGCAUGGUCAAAACCCACUCCGAGCUUGUCUCACUGGGCUGAGCACUGAGUGAAACAGGCUUUCUGACAGAGCUGGAGGGGAUGCCAGGAUCCCUGGGCCCCAUCCCCAGCCUUCCAGUCAUGUGAGCUCAUACAGCUGACCUUAGUUAGGUGGGCAUUUGUGUGGUUCUUAAAGUCUCUAGAGAACAUUCGCGUGGGCCAGAGCACUGCUGCCUGCUUUCCCAAGCACUAUCCAUCGCACAAUUGAGAAAUCCCUUAAGGCUAGGAUUACUGAGUUACCUCCCCAGCUAGCAUCUGAAUCCAUUUCUGAGCAUGGACUCGUCCCAUGGUGGUUGGGACAGGUGGGAGCUGGGAAAAAUCAUCAGCCGAAUGAAGAGAUUGCCAGGAGAGCCAGCUCUAGGACCACCACCCAGCUGCUGUCAACUGGGGACCCCAGAAGGACUUCCCAGGACCCAUUUCAUCCCCUCACUGUUUACACCCAAGCUCCAUGUGCUGUCUAGGUCCAGAAUGAAAGGGGUGUGAGUACCUCAAAGUUAAAAGAAACAGGACAAUGAACAGUGAGUGAUACUCAAACUAUUUCUGAAUUGCUCCUGCCGUUAAAAAUAAAGAAGAAAAAAGAAAAAAUCAAGGAGCCAAUUUUGAAAUGGGAGAAACAUUCCAAAUGAGAUGUGAGCUUUUCCUGGACAUCUCUUUUGGAUCCUUGUGUAUGCAAUAACCAGCAGCAAAAAUUAACAAAACGUUAAUUGAGAAUGUGCAGUAUGAUCUGCUGAAUAAGAAAUAUAUGGUAUUUCAUAGGUG
RNAcentral lists this long non-coding RNA (1126 nucleotides) under Marmota monax (woodchuck). The record is from RNAcentral. Lineage: Eukaryota; Metazoa; Chordata; Mammalia; Rodentia; Sciuridae.